Small nucleolar RNA from Lucilia cuprina (Australian sheep blowfly), 142 nucleotides. It matches the Rfam family "Small nucleolar RNA psi18S-841/snoR66". Rfam says of the family: psi18S-841 is a member of the H/ACA class of snoRNA. The record is from Rfam. NCBI's taxonomy places the organism in Eukaryota, Metazoa, Arthropoda, Insecta, Diptera, Calliphoridae.
GGCAAAAUCACUCUGUGUUAUCAUUUUAUUAAACAGUGAUAAAACAAUUUGUAUUUUUGCCAGAUAAAGAGCAAAAUAACGCUUUACACUAUUAUGUUAAACUAUAUCCAAACAUAACAGUGAUAUAAUUUUGCUACACUUU